RNAcentral lists this ribosomal RNA (253 nucleotides) under uncultured bacterium. Its description in RNAcentral is "partial 16S ribosomal RNA". It matches the Rfam family "Bacterial small subunit ribosomal RNA", at positions 524 to 776 of the family's 1533-position model. The record is from RNAcentral.
UACGGAGGGUGCAAGCGUUAUCCGGAUUCACUGGGUUUAAAGGGUGCGUAGGUGGGCAGGUAAGUCCGCGGUGAAAUCCCCGAGCUUAACUUGGGAACUGCCGUUGAUACUAUCUGUCUUGAAUGUCGUGGAGGUAAGCGGAAUAUGUCAUGUAGCGGUGAAAUGCUUAGAGAUGACAUAGAACACCAAUUGCGAAGGCAGCUUGCUACACGAAAAUUGACACUGAGGCACGAAAGCGUGGGGAGCAAACAGG